Molecule: non-coding RNA, 86 nt
Filed under: unclassified sequences
Source: RNAcentral
AUUGUACUGCCGCCGGGCAGUAGGUGCGAAAGCGCUUGUAUACAUCAUCAGGCCGUAGAAGAUGUAUAUAAGCGCUUUUAAUAUGU